AUAAAUCUUCAGGGCAGGGUGCAAUUCCCGACCGGCGGUGAUAGUCCGCGAACCGAAAGGUUGAUCUGGUGAAAUUCCAAAACCGACAGUAGAGUCUGGAUGGUAGAAGAUGAAA
Molecule: non-coding RNA, 115 nt
Filed under: Haloplasma contractile
Lineage: Bacteria; Bacillati; Mycoplasmatota; Mollicutes; Haloplasmatales; Haloplasmataceae
Also listed under: 1 other name
Description: FMN sequence
Rfam family: FMN riboswitch aptamer (RFN element)
About the family: The RFN element is a highly conserved domain that is found frequently in the 5'-untranslated regions of prokaryotic mRNAs that encode for flavin mononucleotide (FMN) biosynthesis and transport proteins. This element is a metabolite-dependent riboswitch that directly binds FMN in the absence of proteins.
Source: RNAcentral